CCUACGGGAGGCUGCAGUGGGGAAUAUUGCUCAAUGGGCGAAAGCCUGACGCAGCGACGCCGCGUGAGGGAUGAAGGUCUUCUGAUCGUAAACCUCUGUCAGCAGGGAAGAACGGUCACUGUGCUAAUCAGCAGUGAAUUUACCGUACCUGCAAAGGAAGCACCGGCUAACGCCGUGCCAGAAGCCGCGGUAAUACGGAGGGUGCUUUCGUUAAUCGGAAUUACUGGGCGUAAAGCGCUCGUAGGCGGUAUGUCAAGUCAAGGGUGAAAUCCCCGCGCUCAACGUGGGAACUGCCUUUGAAACUGGCAAACUGGAGUGUGUGAGAGGAUGGUGGAAUUCCAGGUGUAGGAGUGAAAUGCGUAGAUAUCUGGCGGAACAUCAGUGGCGAAGGCGACUAUCUGGCCCAUAACUGACGCUGAGGAGCGAAAGCGUGGGUAGCAAACAGGAUUAGAUACCCUGGUAGUC
This 465-nucleotide ribosomal RNA is filed under the name uncultured bacterium. RNAcentral describes it as "partial 16S ribosomal RNA". It matches the Rfam family "Bacterial small subunit ribosomal RNA", at positions 338 to 795 of the family's 1533-position model. The record is from RNAcentral.